Transfer RNA from Papilio xuthus (Asian swallowtail), 115 nucleotides. It matches the Rfam family "tRNA". Rfam says of the family: Transfer RNA (tRNA) molecules are approximately 80 nucleotides in length. The record is from Rfam. NCBI's taxonomy places the organism in Eukaryota, Metazoa, Arthropoda, Insecta, Lepidoptera, Papilionidae.
GUCAGGAUGGCCGAGCGGUCUAAGGCGCCAGACUCAAGGUUACCUUGCCCAUUGCACUGGGCUGCGGGCGUUCUGGUCCUCUCUGAGGGCGUGGGUUCGAAUCCCACUUCUGACA